Molecule: long non-coding RNA, 200 nt
Filed under: Elaeis guineensis (African oil palm)
Lineage: Eukaryota; Viridiplantae; Streptophyta; Magnoliopsida; Arecales; Arecaceae
Description: long non-coding RNA (EGUI_LNC049881)
Source: RNAcentral
GUCAGUACUCUGCUUCAACAGAAAUGGAGUGCUCGAGUAAGAAUUUUAGUGAGUUUCAAGAUAGAGUUUAGAGCUUAGAGAAGAACGUAUCUGAGGAUCCUUUUUUAUAGACAAAAAGCGUAACUGACUGACAGCGACGUCUGUAACCGUCUGGUAGUGGGCCGUUCAGAGCCGCGUAGAGUUUGUUACGGAAAGUAGUG